Molecule: ribosomal RNA, 250 nt
Filed under: uncultured bacterium
Lineage: Bacteria
Description: partial 16S ribosomal RNA
Rfam family: Bacterial small subunit ribosomal RNA
Source: RNAcentral
AUUGAACGCUGGCGGCAUGCCUUACACAUGCAAGUCGAACGCGAAAGGGGGCAACCCUGAGUAGAGUGGCGAACGGGUGAGUAAUACAUCGGAACAUACCCAGUAGUGGGGGAUAACCAGUCGAAAGACUGGCUAAUACCGCAUACGACCUACGGGUGAAAGCGGGGGACCGCAAGGCCUCGCGCUAUUGGAUUGGCCGAUGUCCGAUUAGCUUGCUGGCGGGGUAAAAGCCCACCAAGGCGACGAUCGG